Molecule: ribosomal RNA, 484 nt
Filed under: uncultured bacterium
Lineage: Bacteria
Description: bacterial SSU rRNA
Rfam family: Bacterial small subunit ribosomal RNA
Source: RNAcentral
AUUGAACGCUGGCGGCAUGCCUUACACAUGCAAGUCGAACGGCAGCACGGGAGCAAUCCUGGUGGCGAGUGGCGAACGGGUGAGUAAUGUAUCGGAACGUACCUUUCAGUGGGGGAUAACGUAGCGAAAGUUACGCUAAUACCGCAUAUUCUGUGAGCAGGAAAGCAGGGGAUCGCAAGACCUUGCGCUGAUUGAGCGGCCGAUAUCAGAUUAGCUAGUUGGUGAGGUAAAGGCUCACCAAGGCGACGAUCUGUAGCGGGUCUGAGAGGAUGAUCCGCCACACUGGAACUGAGACACGGUCCAGACUCCUACGGGAGGCAGCAGUGGGGAAUUUUGGACAACGGGCGCAAGCCUGAUCCAGCCAUGCCGCGUGAGUGAAGAAGGCCUUCGGGUUGUAAAGCUCUUUCAGCCGGGAAGAAAACGCAUGGGUUAAUACCCUGUGUGGAUGACGGUACCGGAAUAAGAAGCACCGGCUAACUACGUG